RNAcentral lists this ribosomal RNA (718 nucleotides) under uncultured soil bacterium. Its description in RNAcentral is "bacterial SSU rRNA". It matches the Rfam family "Bacterial small subunit ribosomal RNA", at positions 733 to 1450 of the family's 1533-position model. The record is from RNAcentral.
CAUCAUACUGACACUGAGGCUCGAAAGCGUGGGUAGCAAACAGGAUUAGAUACCCUGGUAGUCCACGCCGUAAACGAUGUCUACUAGUCGUUGGGUCCCUUGAGGACUUAGUGACGCAGCUAACGCAAUAAGUAGACCGCCUGGGGAGUACGGCCGCAAGGUUAAAACUCAAAUGAAUUGACGGGGGCCCGCACAAGCGGUGGAGCAUGUGGUUUAAUUCGAUGCAACGCGAAGAACCUUACCUGGUCUUGACAUAUCUAGAAUCCUGCAGAGAUGCGGGAGUGCCUUCGGGAAUUAGAAUACAGGUGCUGCAUGGCUGUCGUCAGCUCGUGUCGUGAGAUGUUGGGUUAAGUCCCGCAACGAGCGCAACCCUUUUCCUUAGUUACCAGCGGGUUAUGCCGGGAACUCUAAGGAUACUGCCAGUGACAAACUGGAGGAAGGCGGGGACGACGUCAAGUCAUCAUGGCCCUUACGACCAGGGCUACACACGUGCUACAAUGGUAGGUACAGAGGGCAGCUACACAGCGAUGUGAUGCGAAUCUCAAAAAGCCUAUCGUAGUCCAGAUUGGAGUCUGCAACUCGACUCCAUGAAGUAGGAAUCGCUAGUAAUCGCGGAUCAGAAUGCCGCGGUGAAUACGUUCCCGGGCCUUGUACACACCGCCCGUCACACCAUGGGAGUUGAUUGCACCAGAAGUGGAUAGCUUAACCUUCGGGGAGG